Molecule: long non-coding RNA, 290 nt
Filed under: Phaseolus vulgaris (common bean)
Lineage: Eukaryota; Viridiplantae; Streptophyta; Magnoliopsida; Fabales; Fabaceae
Description: long non-coding RNA (PVUL_LNC000985)
Source: RNAcentral
AAAUUAGGUGAUUAACAAAACUUAUGGGGUAAAACAUUGAUUUGAAGGAAAGUGAAAUUCAUAAUGACUUUGCUUCUGCCCCUUUGGAUGGUAUUCUCAACCAGCUGCUAGUUGAAUUUGUGUUUUGGUAAUAAGUUGGUGAUUGAAUUUGAAGUGAGUCACAGUGAAGUGUGAGACAAAUAAUGACAUGCACAUCAGCUGCAUAUAUGAAUCUCGAAUCCCGCAAUUGAUGAAGAAGUAAACAUUAAAGACUGCUUAUCUCUCGGUUUGUGUUACUCCUUAUCUAGUCC